Molecule: long non-coding RNA, 510 nt
Organism: Arachis duranensis
Lineage: Eukaryota; Viridiplantae; Streptophyta; Magnoliopsida; Fabales; Fabaceae
Exons: 2
Source: RefSeq, a predicted model, not a curated record
AAAAAUAAGAUAGUUUGUCAAGCUAUCUAAUUUCACGUUUUGUCUUUGAUCAUCAGGUAUGUGUUUGGAGUCACACAUGUUCCUCGUUUAGAAGAUUGGCCUGUUAUGCCAGUAGAGCGCAUUGGUUUUAUGCUCAUGCCUCAUGGAUUCUUCAAUUGUUCACCAGCAGUGGAUGUGCCUCCAAGUCCCUGUGAAUUGGAUGCUAAAGAUAAUGACAUCAAGGAUAGUAGUGGUGCUACCAAGCCAAUUCAGAGUGGCUUAGCUUCAAAGUUGUGAUGAAAGUUAUGCCUCUUUGUGCUGCUGAAAAUAGAGAAACACAAGGUGUUGUAUUUUUGCCAUAUACUGAAACCUUGAAACUUCAGGUUGAGCAGAUUAUAUAUAUUUGAACUUAGAACAGUAUUAAAAGCUAUGUGGGUUGAAAAUGAAAGUAGAUAUUUGAAGUUCUAUUUUGGUUGAAAAAACAAAUGAUACCUUUGAAUCUAAAAUAAAUUUCAUGUUUUUAAGGCUGUA